This 253-nucleotide ribosomal RNA is filed under the name uncultured bacterium. Its description in RNAcentral is "partial 16S ribosomal RNA". It matches the Rfam family "Bacterial small subunit ribosomal RNA", at positions 524 to 776 of the family's 1533-position model. The record is from RNAcentral.
UACGUAGGGUGCAAGCGUUGUCCGGAAUUAUUGGGCGUAAAGAGCUCGUAGGCGGUCUGUCGCGUCGGCUGUGAAAUCCCGAGGCUCAACCUCGGGUCUGCAGUCGAUACGGGCAAACUAGAGUACUGCAGGGGAGACUGGAAUUCCUGGUGUAGCGGUGAAAUGCGCAGAUAUCAGGAGGAACACCGGUGGCGAAGGCGGGGCUCUGGGCAGUAACUGACGCUGAGGAGCGAAAGCGUGGGGAGCAAACAGG